GACGAACGCUGUCGGCGUGCUUAACACAUGCAAGUCGAACGGAAAGGCCCUGCUUUUGUGGGGUGCUCGAGUGGCGAACGGGUGAGUAACACGUGAGUAACCUGCCCUUGACUUUGGGAUAACUUCAGGAAACUGGGGCUAAUACCGGAUAGGAGCUCCUGCUGCAUGGUGGGGGUUGGAAAGUUUCGGCGGUUGGGGAUGGACUCGCGGCUUAUCAGCUUGUUGGUGGGGUAGUGGCUUACCAAGGCUUUGACGGGUAGCCGGCCUGAGAGGGUGACCGGCCACAUUGGGACUGAGAUACGGCCCAGACUCCUACGGGAGGCAGCAGUGGGGAAUAUUGCACAAUGGGCGGAAGCCUGAUGCAGCAACGCCGCGUGCGGGAUGACGGCCUUCGGGUUGUAAACCGCUUUCGCCUGUGACGAAGCGUGAGUGACGGUAAUGGGUAAAGAAGCACCGGCUAACUACGUGCCAGCAGCCGCGGUGAUACGUAGGGUGCGAGCGUUGUCCGGAUUUAUUGGGCGUAAAGGGCUCGUAGGUGGUUGAUCGCGUCGGAAGUGUAAUCUUGGGGCUUAACCCUGAGCGUGCUUUCGAUACGGGUUGACUUGAGGAAGGUAGGGGAGAAUGGAAUUCCUGGUGGAGCGGUGGAAUGCGCAGAUAUCAGGAGGAACACCAGUGGCGAAGGCGGUUCUCUGGGCCUUUCCUGACGCAGAGGAGCGAAAGCGUGGGGAGCGAACAGGCUUAGAUACCCUGGUAGUCCACGCUGUAAACGGUGGGUACUAGGUGUGGGGUCCAUUCCACGGGUUCCGUGCCGUAGCUAACGCUUUAAGUACCCCGCCUGGGGAGUACGGCCGCAAGGCUAAAACUCAAAGGAAUUGACGGGGCCCCGCACAAGCGGCGGAGCAUGCGGAUUAAUUCGAUGCAACGCGUAGAACCUUACCUGGGUUUGACAUGGAUCGGGAGUGCUCAGAGAUGGGUGUGCCUCUUUUGGGGUCGGUUCACAGGUGGUGCAUGGCUGUCGUCAGCUCGUGUCGUGAGAUGUUGGGUUAAGUCCCGCAACGAGCGCAACCCUUGUUCACUGUUGCCAGCACGUUAUGGUGGGGACUCAGUGGAGACCGCCGGGGUCAACUCGGAGGAAGGUGGGGAUGACGUCAAGCCAUCAUGCCCCUUAUGUCCAGGGCUUCACGCAUGCUACAAUGGCUGGUACAGAGAGUGGCGAGCCUGUGAGGGUGAGCGAAUCUCGGAAAGCCGGUCUCAGUUCGGAUUGGGGUCUGCAACUCGACCUCAUGAAGUCGGAGUCGCUAGUAAUCGCAGAUCAGCAACGCUGCGGUGAAUACGUUCCCGGGGCU
This 1346-nucleotide ribosomal RNA is filed under the name uncultured bacterium. Its description in RNAcentral is "partial 16S ribosomal RNA". It matches the Rfam family "Bacterial small subunit ribosomal RNA", at positions 28 to 1381 of the family's 1533-position model. The record is from RNAcentral.